AUUUGAUUCUCCUAAUUACUCUCAAAUCAGUAUUAUCUCUAUGAACAGGAAAACAAAAUCGGUGAGGUGCUAAGUAGCAAUCACACAGCUAGUAAGUGGCAGAGCAAGAAUUAAGACCUGGGAGCCAUAGAAAAAAGCCUGAGAGAAUCAAAAUGUUAGCAGUUGUCACCCCAGGGAAGCACUGGGGAGACCCAGGGAGAGGCUUCACUUUUUAAAACCGUAACCUCAACAAACAAACUCAGUUCUAAACCGCUGCUCAUUUUAUUUUAUUUUAAUAUUUGCAGGUAGGCUUUGGGAGGUACUUUUCAGAGAAUAAACUGAAAUAAUUAACAAAUGCCAGCACAGUGCCAGGCAGAAGGAAAGGCUGCUGGCUAAGUGACGGAUGCGCGUGUGGAGGCUGAGGCAAGGGGCGUCAGAGGGUGGGGCAGGGCUGGAGGAGCGUGAGUCACCAGCCCUGAGCUGCUGGUUUCCAGUCCUUUCUGCGCCUGGGCUGAGCUUCUCGCCUGCCUGCCCCGUCCCAGCAGCUUCAGAAGGUGGCUGGGGGCAGGCGUUUCUGGAGCUCCUGCUCCCUGUAAGGUUCAUCCCAAACCCUAAGUGCUGGGGAGGCCAAAGUGGGAAAAUCCAGCCUUGGGUGGAGCUAGAGUCCAUGAUCUGAGCCUGUGCCUGCUGGUGACCUGAGAGGACAAACCCUGCAGUGCAGAGAAUGACAAGUGCUGCACGAAGGGACACAGCACACAGCUGCCCACUGGUGCAAAACAGUAGGGCAGAAAAGCUUUGAAAAAUUCAAACAGGAC
This 794-nucleotide long non-coding RNA is filed under the name Heterocephalus glaber (naked mole-rat). RNAcentral's name for it is "lncRNA (ENSHGLG00000029884.2)". Lineage: Eukaryota; Metazoa; Chordata; Mammalia; Rodentia; Bathyergidae. The record is from RNAcentral.